UCUUGGGUUGUAAACCUCUUUUCUCAGGGAAGAAAAAAAUGACGGUACCUGAGGAAUAAGCAUCGGCUAACUCCGUGCCAGCAGCCGCGGUAAUACGGAGGAUGCAAGCGUUAUCCGGAAUGAUUGGGCGUAAAGCGUCCGCAGGUGGCGAUGAAAGUCUGCUGUUAAAGAGUGAGGCUCAACCUCAUAAAAGCAGUGGAAACUACAUAGCUAGAGUACGUUCGGGGCAGAGGGAAUUCCUGGUGUAGCGGUGAAAUGCGUAGAGAUCAGGAAGAACACCGGUGGCGAAAGCGCUCUGCUAGGCCUGUACUGACACUGAGGGACGAAAGCUAGGGGAGCGAAUGGGAUUA
Molecule: ribosomal RNA, 350 nt
Filed under: Aulosira laxa K61
Lineage: Bacteria; Bacillati; Cyanobacteriota; Cyanophyceae; Nostocales; Fortieaceae
Description: bacterial SSU rRNA
Rfam family: Bacterial small subunit ribosomal RNA
Source: RNAcentral